This 590-nucleotide long non-coding RNA is filed under the name Coturnix japonica (Japanese quail). RNAcentral's name for it is "lncRNA (ENSCJPG00005007372.1)". Lineage: Eukaryota; Metazoa; Chordata; Aves; Galliformes; Phasianidae. The record is from RNAcentral.
CCUAGCUCCAAGCCACGGCUAACUCAACACACUGAGACAGAAUUGUAAUGGCAGGAGUUUUGUGCAAGUAGAUGGAGGCAAUGGGAGGCCUAUAUGAAGUUCUAACCGGCUAAAGUUGAUGAUGCUGAAUGUCACAGGUAAAACAUUCUGCAUUGGCUGAGUUAAGAGAUUACACUGAACCAAGCAAGUUUAGGGAUAUGGCAGUUGUCUUCACUUUUGUUUCCUGUCAUUGUUGUUGAGGGUUACCUUGCGAUUUAACCAACAUCCUGAUUACAAGAAAGCUAAACCAAAAACUUCUGAAAAACUGGCUUUGAAUCUGUUGUUGACUUGAAGCUCUCACCUGCCUCUACAGGGACAUCUCCAAGUCAUUCUGGACUAAUUUUCGGCAUUUCUGUCAAUAACUGCAGUCUUUUCUGUAACCUCAUAAAUGCAGAACUUGAGAAUUGGCAGGAACGAGCUCUGGUAAUCCUUAUACAUUACUGAAUAUCACCACUGAGGAACAUUGUCAUCUACAACAGAUGAGAUAAUCCUAGUAAGCACCAUGUUGCAAGGUGCUAAUUGACAUAAUAAACAACAGAAUAUAUCUGUCA